CCCUAGAAAAAUUUGUCUUUUUUAUUUGAAGUACAUGGUUUCCGUUGCUCUCAUAUAUUUCGGGAAGAAAAGCAGUCCGGCCCAGACAAAAUAGCCAAUUUAUGACUGCUCUCAUCUUCACUUAUUUGGCAUGGGGCUCCACCCUUAACCUACGUUGUUGUUGCUGCUGUUGUUUUCAAAAAUAGUUUUUGAUGAACAGGCCUCCCAUGUUCCACAAUAAUUUAUAGAGACUCAUGGUCAUAGAUCGAUAAAAUCCCUUUUGAAUAUAAAUCUGCGAUCAUUUCAAUAAGAGUGAACCAACCUUCUCUCACCAUAGGCUUUGCUUUGGGCGGGAGGGAUCUAGAAUCUAUUAUCAUCUUUACGAUUCAAGUUUACCUAGCCCUUCAAGGACUUUACAAAAUAAAAACCCUUCAACUCAAACUCUUCAUAUUCAUGAGUAAAACUUAAAUGUAAUUGAGCGUAUAUUUCUUUUUUGUUAUUAUUUUUUGAGCAAUUGUACAAUAUUUAUUGAUAAUGAAAUCGAAUACAUACAGAUAAAAAAAAGGCAAACACAAAACCAGAGCCAUCAUCCUCAUCUUCAAAACUUCAAAAAGGGUUUAUGGGCAGUCAGUAUUUUCCUAUCAUAAAAGAAGCAUAUGCAUAAUGGUAGGAAGGAUAGAACGAAUUAAGCACUAGCCAGUAAGCUCUCCCUAAUCAUUAUGGUUCCAUUUUUAAUUGUUAAUUCUAAUAACCAAAAAAUAAAAAGGAUAAUGGUAGGAAGACCAAAAUUUUAAACCAAAUUUACAAACUAAAUGUUGUGUCAUAAAUAUAAAAUAAGCACGUUAAUUAACAUUCAAUUAAUAAUCCAAUCUCAUUUGGUUUACAAAAUUUAAUUUAAAAUUUUGAUCUUCUAGCAUUACCCUGAUAAAAAUAUUCAAGUUAGGUAUUACACCCUCUCCAUCAGUCCAUUGGCCCCAUGAGCCACAUGCAUGUUUGAGUAUCGAGAAACCCCGGCGGGCUUUCAAAACCGAUUUUCACCCUUAUAAAAAUAACAAAUUAACAAAAACAAAGUUUCAGAUAAUACAAUUAGUUAUUGAAUAUUGAGAAAAAUAAACCUAUGAAAGAUCAAGAGACAAAAAUUGGAAAUUGUCAAAUUGAUGGGGACUAACAACAAAGAUAGUCCGAAAAACAUUUCACUCUCAAGGCCCCCCGCCAACUUGGAGAGGCUACAAGCCUCUCUACAUGUUCUUUUUCUUUAUGGCAUACAGUCCUUUUAUGGUACUUAAUUUGCAUACUAAACUAAUUCUAUAUAGCAACCCUCACCGUUUGACCUAUAUUAUUUACAGGGACACAUGCAAGUUACUGCAGAAGAAGAAUGAAGUGUGGGGGAGAGGAAAAUGUGAGACUGAAUAGUUAAUCGGUAAUUUGAUAAUCAUAUCAUUUUUAUUUUGAUGAGAGUGAUAUAGAAGAAAUGUAUAAGAAAAAACGUACAAAAUGAAAACAAAAAAUAAAAAACUAUUUUGAGUUGUUUUCACUUUCAAGAUUUGUUUUCAUUCAUCAUUUUUUCUUUCUUCCUCUCUGUCUCCCAUCAUCGGUGGCGGAGUCAACAUGGGCCAUUGGUUACUCAUGAUCCCAAUAAUUUCAUAACUUCAAUGUAUAUUUAUCUAUAUAUUUUUGUAUGAACUCUAUUCAUAAUUGUGACAAAAAGAAAGAAUGAGUAAAAACACUAAAAACACUGAAUUACAAACUGAUGCUUCUUUUAUGCAACCCCAUGUAUUGUUAUUUGUAGAUUUUCUUCUUCUUUCCUUUGUCUUUCUUCUCCUAUUUCUCGUGUUCGAUAAAAAACUUCACUUGAUAAGCCUCAGCAAAAUCAACAUAGUGCGGCAUAACUUGGUAUGUACUCACCAGCAACUCGACGAAAUGAUCAAAUGAUUUUAUUUUUUUAUUUUUAUUUUUUGCUAUAAUUAUAUGACCACAUUGUCAUGAAAUUCUAGCUCCACCACUGACUUCACUCAAUAAGUAUUGGCAAAAUCGGCAUAAUGUGACAUAACUCGGUAUGUACUCACUAGAAGCUCGACAAAAUGAUCCAAUGAUGUUUUUUAUGCUAAAAUUAGAUGACCCCAUUUUCAUAAAAUUCUGGCUCCGCCUCUCUGCCACUGCCCAUCAUUCUUAUUUAUAUCCCUCAUUUCUACCUAUGUUUUCAUCAUAUCUCAAUCUCAAAGAGUAAAAAUUAAAAAACUAAAAAUAAAUUAAUUACUAAACGAGCUCUAAUAAGUAAAUUACUAAGAUCACUUAAUCUUAGAUAUUGAUUGUCUGAUCCUGUUUGAAAAGUGCACAUUCUAGCCACUAUGGAGUACAUGACUAAAGUCAGAUUUCUUCUUAAUUUCAACAUAUGAAGACCACUAGUAAUUAACUACCAUUUUAACCUAGUCAAAGGUAUGAGUGAACCUUCAAGCGCCAAAUAUAGAUUUAGCUAAGGUAUAUGCAUGCAUGUUACCUUAGGGGUUAAAGCAAAUUGGGUUGUACUCUUCACAAUCAUGCGGUCACGUCCAUUGUCACAAAUCUGGAUCGAUCGAUCUCCUGCAGAAAGCAACCAGUCUGCAAACCUUGGACCAUCCUAUUUCACUUAGAGCUGUAGAUUUUCAAGACAUAUAUUCAUGUUCAGUACUCAAUUACAUGCAUGAAUCUCAAUGGAUGAGGCAACUGAACUCGUGCCAUACCAUAUUAAAGGACCGUCAUUAGUCCAUUGACAAUUGGGAAGUAUAUAUUUUCUUCCUUUUUGUUUUUGGCAUCUCUGAAAAAUACGCAGAAAAAAUUGAUGAAAUGUUUAAUCUCGAGCUACCUAAAUUUGAAGGGAGUACUACUGUACUAGUGGCAGUUAAAUUGAGAAGGAGACCCCACAAUUCGUUGAAAAUGACGAACAAGUGUAAUUAAGGUACCGUAGACAAUAUAAUCUGAUUGUAAUUUCUUUUUUUUAGCUUUGAUACCUUUAAUAAUAGAAUAAUGACUGCAAUUUCACUUGAAGAAGAAGUAAUUAAUUAAAAAUAUGGUUAGCAGCAAUUAGAUAAUUAUUUUUGGGACACUUUGGAUGCGGUCCCUAACUAUCAAUAUUCUUUGAUUGAAACCUUGUUAGUUUUUAGUUUUUUAUUGAGGUCCUUGACAUUAAUGUAAUAAUGUAAGUUACUAUAUUUUUUAAAUUAAAAAUUAAAAAUUGAAAUUUGUAAUUGUUUAUAUUAAUGAGAUUUUAAAUAAAACCCAUAAUUUAUGGGAUUAAAAAUAAUAAAAUAUAAAUUAUACUCUCUAUUAUAUUGUGUGUGUGUGUGUAUAUACAUAUAUGUAUGGGUACAUUAACCAAAAUUAACAAAAA
This 3346-nucleotide long non-coding RNA is filed under the name Malus domestica (apple). RNAcentral's name for it is "long non-coding RNA (MDOM_LNC014272)". The record is from RNAcentral. Lineage: Eukaryota; Viridiplantae; Streptophyta; Magnoliopsida; Rosales; Rosaceae.